This 176-nucleotide non-coding RNA is filed under the name Bacillus sp. ok061. The record is from RNAcentral. Lineage: Bacteria; Bacillati; Bacillota; Bacilli; Caryophanales; Bacillaceae.
AACAACUGAUUGCCUGAAAGUAGGAAUGAAAGCCGUCAGGUUGAGCUGAAACUACUUGUCUAAUACUCCUAUAUGCAAGGCGUGAUAGUGGUCACAAAUUGUAUGGAGAGUUGAAGUCGGUUGCCAAAAACCAAGUGAGAACUCAUAUGGUAAUGGGUAGGUCGGGAUGUUACAAA